RNAcentral lists this ribosomal RNA (318 nucleotides) under uncultured bacterium. RNAcentral describes it as "bacterial SSU rRNA". It matches the Rfam family "Bacterial small subunit ribosomal RNA", at positions 188 to 507 of the family's 1533-position model. The record is from RNAcentral.
CAUCUUAUUAAUAUUAAAGCUUCGGCACUUGAUGAUGGGUGUGCGGCUGAUUAGAUAGUUGGCGGGGUAACGGCCCACCAAGUCUACGAUCAGUAGCUGAUGUGAGAGCAUGAUCAGCCACACGGGCACUGAGACACGGGCCCGACUCCUACGGGAGGCAGCAGUAAGGAAUAUUGGACAAUGGACGAAAGUCUGAUCCAGCCAUGCCGCGUGAGGGAUUAAGGUCCUCUGGAUUGUAAACUUCUUUUAUAUGGGACGAAAAAGGGCAUUCUUGUUCACUUGACGGUACCAUAUGAAUAAGCACCGGCUAACUCCGUG